AUUGAACGCUGGCGGCAGGCCUAACACAUGCAAGUCGAGCGGAUGAAGGGAGCUUGCUCCUGGAUUCAGCGGCGGACGGGUGAGUAAUGCCUAGGAAUCUGCCUGGUAGUGGGGGAUAACGUCCGGAAACGGGCGCUAAUGCCGCAUACGUCCUGAGGGAGAAAGUGGGGGAUCUUCGGACCUCACGCUAUCAGAUGAGCCUAGGUCGGAUUAGCUAGUUGGUGGGGUAAAGGCCUACCAAGGCGACGAUCCGUAACUGGUCUGAGAGGAUGAUCAGUCACACUGGAACUGAGACACGGUCCAGACUCCUACGGGAGGCAGCAGUGGGGAAUAUUGGACAAUGGGCGAAAGCCCGAUCCAGCCAUGCCGCGUGUGUGAAGAAGGUCUUCGGAUUGUAAAGCACUUUAAGUUGGGAGGAAGGGCAGUAAGUUAAUACCUUGCUGUUUUGACGUUACCAACAGAAUAAGCACCGGCUAACUUCGUG
RNAcentral lists this ribosomal RNA (484 nucleotides) under uncultured bacterium. Its description in RNAcentral is "partial 16S ribosomal RNA". It matches the Rfam family "Bacterial small subunit ribosomal RNA", at positions 30 to 507 of the family's 1533-position model. The record is from RNAcentral.